UCGGGAAUUUUGGGCAAUGGGCGCAAGCCUGAUCCAGCCAUGCCGCGUGCGGGAAGAAGGCCUUCGGGUUGUAAACCGCUUUUGUCAGGGAAGAAACGCUCUGGGCUAAUACCCUGGGGUAAUGACGGUACCUGAAGAAUAAGCACCGGCUAACUACGUGCCAGCAGCCGCGGUAAUACGUAGGGUGCAAGCGUUAAUCGGAAUUACUGGGCGUAAAGCGUGCGCAGGCGGUUAUGCAAGACAGAUGUGAAAUCCCCGGGCUCAACCUGGGAACUGCAUUUGUGACUGUAUAGCUAGAGUACGGUAGAGGGGGAUGGAAUUCCGCGUGUAGCAGUGAAAUGCGUAGAUAUGCGGAGGAACACCGAUGGCGAAGGCAAUCCCCUGGACCUGUACUGACGCUCAUGCACGAAAGCGUGGGGAGCAAACAGGAUUAGAUACCCUCGUAGUCCCUGAGCGGGCUGGCAAGGCGCAU
This 472-nucleotide ribosomal RNA is filed under the name uncultured bacterium. RNAcentral's name for it is "bacterial SSU rRNA". It matches the Rfam family "Bacterial small subunit ribosomal RNA", at positions 355 to 825 of the family's 1533-position model. The record is from RNAcentral.